RNAcentral lists this ribosomal RNA (502 nucleotides) under uncultured bacterium. RNAcentral describes it as "bacterial SSU rRNA". It matches the Rfam family "Bacterial small subunit ribosomal RNA", at positions 19 to 518 of the family's 1533-position model. The record is from RNAcentral.
CUGGCUCAGGAUGAACGCUAGCGGCAGGCUUAACACAUGCAAGUCGAGGGGCAUCGGGAGUAGCAAUACUGCCGGCGACCGGCGCAAGGGUGCGUAACGCGUGAGCAACAUGCCCGUAUCAGGGGGAUAAUCCAUGGAAACGUGGUCUAAUACCCCAUAGUAAUUAUGUAAGGCAUCUUAUAUAAUUUAAAGCUUUGGUGGAUACGGAUUGGCUCGCGUGACAUUAGCUGGAUGGUAAGGUAACGGCUUACCAUGGCUACGAUGUCUAGGGGUUCUGAGAGGAAGGUCCCCACACUGGAACUGAGACACGGUCCAGACUCCUACGGGAGGCAGCAGUGAGGAAUAUUGGACAAUGGAUGGAAAUCUGAUCCAGCCAUGCCGCGUGCAGGAAGACGGCCCUAUGGGUUGUAAACUGCUUUUGUAUGGGAGCAAUAAGGGCUACGUGUAGUCCGAUGAGAGUACCAUACGAAUAAGCACCGGCUAACUCCGUGCCAGCCGCCGC